CACUGAGUACGAGUUGAUCCUGGCUACAGGACGAACGCUGGCGGCGUGCUUAACACAUGCAAGUCGAGCGGGGACAUGAAGAAGCUUGCUUCGAAAUGUUCUAGCGGCGGACGGGUGAGUAACGCGUGAGCAACCUUUCCUCUACUGGGGAAUAACACAGGGAAACUUGUACUAAUACCGCAUGAGACCACAGAGCUGCAUGGCUUAGGGGUCAAAGAUUUAUCGGUAGAGGGUGGGCUCGCGUCUGAUUAGGUAGUUGGUGAGGUAACGGCCCACCAAGCCGACGAUCAGUAGCCGACCUGAGAGGGUGAUCGGCCACAUUGGGACUGAGACACGGCCCAAACUCCUACGGGAGGCAGCAGUGGGGAAUAUUGGGCAAUGGGGGAAACCCUGACCCAGCAACGCCGCGUGGAGGAAGAAGGUUUUCGGAUCGUAAACUCCUGUCCUCAGGGAAGAGCAGAAGACGGUACCUGAGGAGGAAGCCCCGGCUAACUACGUG
Molecule: ribosomal RNA, 499 nt
Filed under: uncultured bacterium
Lineage: Bacteria
Description: bacterial SSU rRNA
Rfam family: Bacterial small subunit ribosomal RNA
Source: RNAcentral